Long non-coding RNA from Taeniopygia guttata (zebra finch), 8719 nucleotides. Lineage: Eukaryota; Metazoa; Chordata; Aves; Passeriformes; Estrildidae. The record is from Ensembl.
AUCCAAUUAAAAAGAUUUAUUAAUGGUAGGAAACGAAAGCAAAUCAGCGCGCUGGGCAGCAGUUAUUCUAACUACCGCACUUUCGUGCCCCAUUCCCCCCCAACUUAUUGGGUCUUCUCCUCCGGAAGUGUGACGUUCUGGUGUCUUUUCUGCGCAGGUGCACUCUGUUGCUAGGUGGUCGUUUUCUGCCUUUUGGUGGUCGUGGGAUGAAGGCCAGUAGUCUUCCUCAGGGCUGUUCUUGUGAUCUGGGAAUUCUCUCAAAACAAGAAAUGUUAUCUCUAGGCACGUUUACUCGCAUUCCACAAGAUUACGGAACUGUCCUUGAAGAUAUUCGCUUAGGUGCUUUGAUGCCUAACUACCUCUACUCCCUAAUUUAGUUUUAACUCCCUAAAGCAGUGUGUAACGAAGUUGUCCUUGAGAGAUAUUCUGGAAUGCUUGGCAAAAUGAGAACAUGUUCAGACAAGUGAAAACUCUAAGUGAAGAUUCUAUUCUAUAGAUGUGAAAACUCUAUAUUAUGAACAAAAAGGCCUUAUUUUCCUAACAUUCAGACAAGUGAAAACUCUAAGUGAAGAUUCUAUUCUAUAGAUGUGAAAACUCUAUAUUAUGAACAAAAAGGCCUUAUUUUCCUAACAUUCAGACAAGUGAAAACUCUAAGUGAAGAUUCUAUUUUAUAGAUGUGAAAACUCUAUAUUAUGAACAAAAAGGCCUUAUUUUCUUAACAAUAUCCCCCCUUUUUAUUUUAAACCUCUUUUUGUUCACUAAAGCGCUCUAAUUCCCUUUUGCUUAAUUCUAAAUAAUCUUCAGUUUCUACUUCGCUAAGUGGCUCGUAUUUUGGUUUUACCAUCAUUAAAUGUGCAGCUUCUAAUCUAUUUUUCACUAGUGUAAUAAGCUUGUUAAGAAUACAUGGCCCAAAAGUAAGUACUAGAAUUAGUAAAAUUACUGGUCCUGCAAGGGUGGAUAAUAGAGUGGUUAGCCAGGGAGAAUAGGUAAGCCAGGAUUCAUACCAGCUCUGCUGGGAUUCUCUUUCUCUUUUUCGUUGUUCUAUUUGUUUGCGUAAUUCAGCCAUCGUGUCUUUUACAAUACCCGUGUGAUCUACAUAAGUGCAGCAUUCUUCCUGCAAAGCAACACAAAGCCCCCCCUGCUGUAAGAAUAACAAAUCUAAUCCCCUUCGGUUUUGGAGGACUACCUCAGAAAGGGAUUUCACUGAUUUAACUAGUUCACUUAUGGCUUUAUCUAUUCUACUCAGAUCUUCAUCUACAGAUGUGCGCAGAGCUUUCAUACCCUGGUUUUGACUCACUAAGGAGGCAACCCCUGUUCCUACUCCUGCUCCUCCUAAGCUGAGCAAAAUUGCUACCGUUAGUGUUGUAAGUGGUUCCCUUUUAGCCAGGUAGUGUUCAGGGGUCAUUUGAUGUUCUAGUACGUAUUCUUUUGGAUGGUAUACGAUUCUGGGGAUUAUUAGAACUUGAAUGCAGAAAUCUGAAUUAUUAAAGGCUUUUACCGAUAGGCAGGGUGUAACUCCAAGUUGUUGACAUACCCAUUUAGUAUUGACUGCUGGCAUAAGCCAAUCAGAAGGCUUGUUUGUUCUGUUAAUGCUUAUUGUCGUGUUGCAGAGGUGUUGCAUAUCUGCUGGAACCUUCCCUACACACCUUCCUUGUCCACUAACCUGGGACAGUGUAAUGCCUGAAACACUAUCUCUUCCCUUUCUCCAGAGACACUCCUUUGGAUUUGUACCAUUUAUUUCUCUUGCCUCAGAUGUAAUCCCAAUAGCUUCAUAAAAGGGUGGAUUUAUCAUAUAGCAAAGCCAGCACCCCUUGGUUAAGUUAGGAUAAGUAUGAUUCAAAACUCCAAAAGUAGCUUGCAUAAUUUUCCAUAAGGUUGUAUACUUCUGCACUAAUAUCUGAGGUUCUUGAUCAAUUUUGUUUGAUUUUAUAACAUUAUCUCUGGUUUUAUUACUCUCCUUUAAGUCAUUGCUUAUUACUGGAUUUGGGCCUAUAGGACUAGGGUCAUGUGGAGCUACCUCCUUUUUUAUUUGUAUCAGAUUUCCUGGAUCAUGUCCUUCUAUCCAAUGCCUAACCCCCCAUGUUUUGCCUAUUAACCAUCCAGAAUCACUUGGUUGAGUGACAUUUAGGUAAAGAAAGGUGCAGUUUCCAAGUAAGUUUUUCCCAGUCCAAGGCCACUCUUGUGGUCGUUUACACCCUGCUGGUCCAUGCCCUACCUUUAAAUAUUUGUCUAAUCCUCCACCCGGAGCCCACGCUGAUGCUAUUGUUUCACAACCCCAAUAGGCGCAGUAAUAAUGUCUAGGGUAAUUACAGUAUUGCUUCCCUGGGUUCGAGGCAGGGCACAUAUAGAAGCUUGUUAAAUUUAACAGCUGCCCACAUUUUGAACUUUGAGUUAAAUCACAAAUCCCAAUCUUAAAGCUCGGUGCUCCAGGUCCCGUUAUUGUCUGUAAAAUAUGACGGGUAUCGUGAUCCUCCCAUCUGCUUAAGGUCCAUUUAAAGGGUUCAUGUAUAUUAACUGUGGCACUCUGGAGGGGAAGCCAUACAAACAUAAAAACCCGUAGGAUUGAGUGAUACGCACUGCAGGAGAGGAUGUUACUUAUCAUGCUCAGUUUUACAUUCCCAUUUUCCCUCAUUCCGUUGUCACCAUUCUCAUACCCAUGAUGAUUUAUAUUCUUUUUCAAGGUUUGGGAGGGCCUCUCAACCCCACUACCUACCUCUCUGUCUCGCCUGUCAACUUGGUUGCUACAAGUUACAGGGUAAGCCAUCUUCUCGACAGCAGAGAUAUUCUUCAGGGGUGGGAUCGUUCCCUCUCUCCCACUUUGACCUCCGGGAGUUCCAGUUUUUCGCAUUCAACUGUGGGGUGUCGCACCUGAGCCUUUUGACUAAUUUGCGACACUUGACUUGGACUAUAUCCGUGAGGAAUGGACCUAGGGGUUCAUUGGAAUGGUAACAGUGGAAUUCAGGGUUUAUUCCUUUUACGAAAAUCUCCCACCACUCAGGGGAUCCUUUAAUCAAUUCCCGAGUGGCAACCUUGUAAUUUAGUACUUCAGAGGUCAAUCUGCGCUGCUCCAGCCAGCAGCGUUGACAUAUACUUUUCGGAGCUCUCCCCUUUCUGCAGUGAGCCCACCACAAUCCUUUACAGAUUUUGCAGGAAAAACAGGCAAAAGGGUAACAAUGACAAUCUAACCAGCUACACUUUACUCUAAUACUUUGAUGUUCAGCAUGGCCCUCCCCCUCCCAAGGUUUCUGCUCUUUUUCAAGUCGGAUGAACCGAUAAAAGGGCUGCUGGGCUGAAUCCUCUAGACGUUUACAGUAUCCUGGGGGUUUUGUUUCUCCCACCAGUUGUACUUGCAGUCCCCAGUUAUCCCCAACCCAAAUGUCCUUAGAGUUGAUAGUGUUCAUGAAAAUUAUUUGUAAGUCCUUUUUACUGUUAACUUUAAAUCCCCCGGCUUCCCGUCAAUUUUCCAGCUCGUUUCCCUGGAAGCUGUAUGGAAUCGAGUUGGAUCCACCGGCCCCUUUAUUCUGCUAGCAUGAGUCCAUCCCUUCUCUGCUGUGCGGACUGCGGAGUCAGUGGUGAUUAAAACCAGGUAUGGUCCGUCCCACUUUGGGGUGAUUGAAUCUUCUUUCCAGCUUCGGAUGAGGACCCAGUCGCCGGGUUGUACCUGGUGUAACACAAGAUCUAGGGGUGGUCUUUGGGCCCACAUCCCCUUUUCCCAUAACUGUUUUUUAUAUUUCAUUAAAGUGGUUAAAUAUUUAUUAAUACUUUGAUCAGUAAUGUUAGGAUUAGUUUGAACUUUUUCUAGGGAAUAGGGCAUCCCAUACAACAUUUCAAAUGGGGACAGUCCUAUAUCAGCUCGUGGCUGAGUUCGAACAUUUAAUAAUGCCAACGGCAGACAUUUUAUCCAGGAUAGUUUAGUUUCUAGUACUAAUUUGGUGAGUUGUUUCUUAAUUUCUCCAUUCAUUCUUUCUACCCUCCCCGAACUCUGUGGAUGCCAGGGGGUAUGUUGUUCCCAUUUUAUGCCCAGAGCUUCUGCUAGCAUCUGUGUUAUUUUUGAAGUAAAAUGGGGGCCUUUAUCAGAGUCUAUCGUCUCUGGGACCCCAUAUCUAGGUAUUACUUCUUCCAGCAAGGCUUUUGUUACUGUCCGAGCUGUCUCCCUGGCAGUGGGGAUUGCUUCCACAUAAUGUGUUAAAUGAUCCACAAUAACCAAAAGAUAUUUCAGUCUCCCUACCUUGGGGAGCUCAGUAAAGUCUACUUGCAGAUUUGAAAAGGGCUUCUUUGCCACUGGCCUCCCACCCAGGGGCAGUUUCCUUAGGUUUUUUCUGUUUACCCGUAGACAGGUUGGACAACUCCUAGUAAUUCCUUUCGCUAAGUCAUGUAGGCCCACCGUCAUGUAAUGGGUGGCAAAGUGAUCCACCAGUCCUUGAGCGCCCCAAUGCGUCCUCUGGUGUAAUUUACUGAGCAUCCGCUGAGCUACGGCUUUAGGUAGAACUUCCCUCCCAUCCUUUAACAGCCAUUUCCCCGAUUUCUCUUUUAUUCCUAAUUUUGUAAGCUUCUCCUGUUCUUCUAUUGUAAAUAUCAGCUUAUCCUGGGUAGUCGACUCAGGGUCUUUUGGGGUAUCUACAAGGUCUUUCCUAACUCCUUCGCUUAAGGUUAGUGUUUUAAUAAUUGCAGCUUUCUUUGCCUCAUAAUCUGCCGCAUUGUUACCCCUACUCCGGUAAUCCAUUCCCCGUUGAUGCCCUUUUAAAUGGACCACCGCUAUCCUUGUAGGGCCUCUCAAAGCCCUCAGGAGGGCUACUAUUAGCUUUCGAUGUAUUAAGUCCCUUCCCUGUGAGUUCACGAGGCCCCUUUCUUCCCAUAAUUUCCCAAAAGUGUGUACCACCCCGUACCCAUAUUUAGAAUCUGUAUAGAUGGUCCCCUCUUUUCCUUCUAAUAGUUCCAAGGCUCUUAGGAUAGCGUAUAUCUCGCAGGCCUGGGCUGACCAUGUUUUGUCUAGGGCUCCAGAUUCGAUUACUUCUAGGUCAGGCCCCCCCACUAUGGCAUAUCCUGAUCUUCUUUGACCUUCGACUACUCUGGAUGAUCCAUCAACAAACAAUUUCUCUCCAGUUUCUAAUUCUUCUUCUUCUAGGUCAGGUCUAAUUUUAGUUUGUUCUUCUAUAGUGAUUACACAGUCGUGCAUUAGUGAUUCAGUUUCGGGCUCUCCGAAAAGGAAGGAGGCUGGAUUUUGCAGAGUGGUGGUUUCUAAGGUAAAAUUAGGGGUUUCUAAUAAAAUCCCUUCAUAUUUCAGGAGCCUGGCAUCAGAUAUCCAUUUAUCUGCUUUCUGUUGCAUCACACUCCGUAUGUUAUGUGGAGUUAAUACUUUUAAAGUAGCAUUAAAAGUGAUUUUCCGUGAUUCUUCUACUAGUGCUGCACACCCUGCAAUUAUUUGCAGACAGCUAGGCCAUCCCCUACUCACGGGGUCUAGGAUUUUAGAUAGAUAGGCAAUAGGUUUCUUUUUCCCUGCCCAAUCCUGAGUAAGUACCCCGUACGUUACCCCAUCUGUGGUAUUAACAAAUAGAAAGAAGGGUCUAUUUAGGUCCGGGAGGCUCAAGACUGGAGCGUGGACUAAGGUCUCUUUUAAUUCUUGAAAUUUAGAUCUUUCUUCUUCUGUCCACUUAAGAUGACCAUCCUGGGUGAGUUUGUGAUAUAAAAAUCUUGCUUUCCCACUAUAGUUUUCAAUCCACUGUCUACAAUAUCCCGUAAGUCCUAAUACUUGCCGAAUUUGUCGUUUAUUUUGUGGUAGAGGGAGAGACAGAAUUGCUUGCACCCGGUCUGGGUCAAUUCUCUUUUCUCCCUUUUUCAAAUAAUGUCCCAGGUAUUUAACUUCCUCUUCUACAAAUUGUAACUUCGCUUUGGAGACUUUUAACCCCUUGGAUCCUAAGUAAUUUAAUAACUUGAUACUCUCCUCCCGGACUUUGUCUUCUUCGCUCCCUGCUAUUAACAAGUCAUCCACAUAUUGAAUUAGUUUCACUUCUGAGGCUGUCUUAUAAUCUUGUAAAACUUGUUCUAGGGCUUGCCCGAAUAAAUUGGGGGAUUCCGUAAACCCUUGGGGUAACACAGUCCACCGAAGUUGCUGCCGCCUUCCUGUAUCAGGGUCUUCCCACUCGAAGGCAAAAUAAUCUCGACUAGACUCGUCUAGAGGGCAAGCCCAAAAAGCAUCUUUCAGAUCUAUGACGCUAUACCACUCGUUCUCAGGUCCUAGUUUGCUUAAAAGAGUAUAGGGGUUUGCCACCACUGGGAACCGGGCUACGGUUCUCUUAUUGAUUUCCCUAAGGUCAUGCACCAAUCGGUAGGAUCCAUCUGCCUUUUUUACUGGCAGGAUCGGGGUAUUGAAAGGCGACAUACAUGGUUCUAGUAGUCCUUUGUUUAACAGCCUUUCAACUUCAGGUUUUAACCCUUUCCUCCCUUCUAGUGAAAUUGGAUACUGUUUUAUUCUUACCGGGACCUCGGGAUUCCUGAUUUUUACUGUAAAUGGGGUUAUAUUUAAUUUGCCCACGGUUCCUGGAUUAUACCAUACUUCAGGGUUUAUUUUCUCUUCGUCUUCUAAACGGAGGGGGCAGAGUCUAAUCUUUAACUCUUUUUCUACUACUUCAAUUUGAAUUCCUAAUUCAACAAUCAAGUCUCUCCCUAACAAAUUGUAGUCCGCUUCAGGAACUAAUAGGAAAUCACCCACCCCCAUCUUAGUUCCUGAUUCUACCAUCACCUCUUUAAUAAUUUGUACUUCAAAUGGUUCCCCCUUAGCUCCUAUUACUGUGGCUGUCUGUUUCGAUAAAUUACAGCCCUGAGGCAGGAAUUGAAUAGUAGAUCUCUCUGCCCCCGUAUCGACCAAGAAAUUUAUUUCUUGGCUCUGGGGACCCACCUUCAAUUUUAUCAAGGGCUCUUUUUGAUGUUUCCCGGUCCCCAUAAAAUAGAGCCCCUGACUCCCCUAUUCGAUUUUGAACUCCUCCUCGUCCUUAAGCCUCCUUCUGCACUCCUUUUUGAAAUGUCCCUUCUUACCACAAUAAUAACACACCCUUUCUCCUACCUUUCCCUUGUCACCCUCCCUAUUCCGAGUGACUCUCUUCUGUCCUUCCUCCGCCCGCCUGCUUUCCCUUACCGCAGCAACCAUCAUUUUCACCUGCUUCUUCUGACUUUCAUCCUCUCUUCGGACAUAAACCUUCUGUGCCUCUCGCAAUAAUUCCUCUAAACCCCUGUCCUGCCAAUCAUCCAUUUUCUGUAUCUUUUUCCUAAUAUCAUCCCAGGACUUAGAGACAAACUGGACUUUAAGAAUUGCCUGUCCCAUUGGGUCAUUCGGGUUUAACCCCGAGUACAGCUGAAAACUUUUCCUUAACCUCUCCAACCAUUCAGUGGGGGUUUCAUCCUUCUUUUGUCUGUCAUUAAAUGCUUUAUUUAUGUUCUGGCCCCUAGGAACGGACUCUUUUAUGCCAUCAAUUAAUAUGGUCCGAAAGUCCCGCAUGUUAGCUCUAUGGACCGGAUCCUGGUUAUUCCAAUUGGGAUUCUCGAGAGGCCAUUUGGUAUCGGCCCGCUGCUGGGCAUGUGCAGGUUGAGCAUCCCAGACCCGCAUACCAGCAGUUCUUAUCAUGUUCUUUUCCUCAACCGUGAAUAAAAUGUUAAGUAUAGAUUGUAAUUCCUCCCAAGUGUAUAUAUUAGGACCUAAAAAUUGAUCCACCCGCUCUGCCACGCCCAGGGGGUCUUCUAACAAAUUUCCCAUCUCCUUCUUAAAGUCUCUAACAUCCCCUGAACUCAAGGGCACCGAAAUGAAUCCAAUCCCCGGCUGUGGUCCCCCCAUGGGCAUUUCCCUUAAAGGAAAUAGUUUGCCUCGCGUCUUACUUCGGGUAAGAGGACCACGCGAGCCUGAGGGUUGAUCAGAGUCUGAGUCUGAUUCUUCCUCAUCCGAUUGUGGAGGAGGAGGGGGUGCAUUCGGCGCAGGGGGAAUGUAAGGCGGGGGUGCAAUAAUUACUUCUUCCGCUCGCCCCUUCUUUUUCUUUCCCCCUGAAACCUCCGAGAGUUUAAACACGAGCACCUCCGGUUUUUCUGUCCAGACUCGGGCAUAGGCACUCUCCUCAGGGUUAGGAGGUUGUUUAGUGUUUAUCCAACCAUUUAACAGUUGCUUUACCCAGUCUUCUGAGGACCCAAAGAUGGGCCAAAAAACACCUUUAGAAAUCUCUUGUCCUCCCCAUACUUCUAUGCAAUAGUGUAUCAUCUUUGCUUUAUCCUUCCCAGGUGCUCCUGGAAGGUGCUCCCAAUUCGUCAGCAUAAACCCUAAGGGACUAUCCUUAGGAAUUGGGGGAAGUUUUACCCCCACCGGGGAGGGGGAUUUACUCCUACUCUUCCCCUGCCCCAUGUCCUCCGGAGUACCUUCAAUCACUCACGACAGCACAAUCGCUUCCCCUGGUUCGUGGCCCAGGCCCUCGCGAGCUCUGGAAAACGCACUACUAAGGGUCCACAAUCACUUGGAGAAUCCGGCUGCCGGUUCUCCUCUCAUUCACACACACACUCGCCGUACUCCGGGAUCCCGAACCCCGCCCGGACGGAUCCCUCUAUACUUACGCGUCCUGCGUCUUCGUCCGGACUUUGUGCACAAAAUUUAAGGGGUACCCUGGGCCCGCUUCCCUUUCCUUUUUUUUUUUUUUGCUUUCGCUUUCUAGGCUUUUAGGUUCGUCGGUCGGGAUGAGGGUAGAAA